Eptesicus fuscus (big brown bat) is the source of this 498-nucleotide long non-coding RNA. RefSeq lists it as uncharacterized. The transcript has 2 exons. Lineage: Eukaryota; Metazoa; Chordata; Mammalia; Chiroptera; Vespertilionidae. The record is from RefSeq and is a predicted model, not a curated record.
GCGUGGGUCCCAGCACCAUGCGCUCUUGCUCCGCGAGCUCAGCAUCCCGCCGGCCCAAUCAGCUACCCCGGCCACCCCGAGUCCUGCCCCCCCGCACCUCCGGGCGAAUCGUGGGCAUAGCGAAGGCCCCAGCAACGACGGGGAGGAGGAGAUGGAGGAAGACACCGUCGCCAACGGCUCCUGAGUGUCCGCGGGGCCGGUGUCCUCGGGGCGUGGGCCCCAGCCGCCGGAGACACGGUCCUGCCUUGAACGUGGAAUGAUAGCGUGAAGCUUCGCUGGGGGGCUCCGACGGCUGCAGUGGUUUCUCAUUCACAUUCUGAGAUCUCACCGCCUGAUUCGCACAGAGUGGAAUAGACACCCACUGCCUGCUGCUGGGCUGUGCGCGCAGUGGGUGUGUACGCCUUUAAGCGGGACCCGCAGGAGGCCUCGUUUCUGACCAGGCCUCCGUCUGUAAAACGUUUGGAUGUUUAAACGUUAAUAAAACUGGUGUUCACGGCA